Molecule: ribosomal RNA, 501 nt
Filed under: uncultured bacterium
Lineage: Bacteria
Description: bacterial SSU rRNA
Rfam family: Bacterial small subunit ribosomal RNA
Source: RNAcentral
AUUGAACGCUGGCGGCAUGCUUUACACAUGCAAGUCGAACGGUAACAGGCCUUCGGGUGCUGACGAGUGGCGAACGGGUGAGUAAUGCAUCGGAACGUGCCCAAUCGUGGGGGAUAACGUAGCGAAAGUUACGCUAAUACCGCAUAAGCCCUGAGGGGGAAAGUGGGGGACCGCAAGGCCUCACGCGAAUGGAGCGGCCGAUGUCAGAUUAGCUAGUUGGUGGGGUAAAGGCCCACCAAGGCGACGAUCUGUAGCGGGUCUGAGAGGAUGAUCCGCCACACUGGGACUGAGACACGGCCCAGACUCCUACGGGAGGCAGCAGUGGGGAAUAUUGGACAAUGGGGGAAACCCUGAUCCAGCGACGCCGCGUGUGUGAAGAAGGCCUGCGGGUUGUAAAGCACUUUCGGUGGGAACGAAAUAUGCCGGGCCGAAUACCCCGGCAGGCUGACGUUACCCAAUGAAGAAAGCACCGGCUAACUACUGUGCCAGCAGCCGCGGUAA